This is a long non-coding RNA of Nicotiana tabacum (common tobacco), 899 nucleotides long. RefSeq lists it as uncharacterized. The record is from RefSeq and is a predicted model, not a curated record. Lineage: Eukaryota; Viridiplantae; Streptophyta; Magnoliopsida; Solanales; Solanaceae.
UCAUCCUUACCAUGAAAAGCACAAGUAGUGUUAACAUUUGUUUGCUUCAAUGAUAAAGGAAAAGUCAUUAGGAAGAAGGUAGGGAUAUACUCACAACUUUAGGCCCCUCUUUUUUCUUUUCCAUAUCCCUUUAUAUCAAUAGCAAAGUGGCUUUUCUUUUUAUAUAUAUGUUUUGUUGUGACCAGUUGAUUUGGGUUAGUAUGGAGGAACACGUAGUAGGUUGGAACAACUUGUUUCUUACGUUAGAUGAACAUUAUCCAGUGGUUUCUCAUUGCAAGAACAACUAAAUUGGAGGUUCAUCAUUCUACCCUUGUGUUUUCUACUAAAUGAAUUGAUGAGAUUCUCUUUUUGGUUUUCGGUGAGAGGGGGAUUAGUUCAUUUGGGAUCAAUAGGUGGUAGACCGCUGACCAUAAAGCCAACUUUAAAUGGUUGGUUUGCUAAAUUUCAGUUACUGAAGAACGUAAAUUACAAGGUCUCCCUACGAGGAGUACAGUGCAAUCUUUCUCAAGAAUAUCAUACAGAUUCUUUCUUACUUCAAUUCACCAUUACGUGUUUUAUCUCAAUUGACGUAUGUUAGAGGGAUUGUUAAGAGAAUCGGCUCAGGUAUAGACAUUCAGUUUGACGAGCCCUCAAAGUAGACGAGGUCAACAUUCAACGAAGAAUCGGUAAGACUCCAUCUCAUUCGGAGUGCAGCCGAGUUUUAUGAGGCAUCGUGUCAUAAUUUUGCUACACACUUAUGUGUAGGCUGGUACCCUGUCCCAUUUGAUGUCAAAUAAUCUUAGAGAUUUUGUAGACAGAGGUUCAUUUUGUGUGGUACGUCAAAGGCCUUGACGGCCAUAUGUAUUCAUGUUUUAAGAACGAUGGUUCAGUAAUAUAAUAUUUUUCCACUUACAAUUGUA